GGGUUGUGAGGUUAAGCGACUAAGCGUACACGGUGGAUGCCUAGGCAGUCAGAGGCGAUGAAGGGCGUGCUAAUCUGCGAUAAGCGUCGGUAAGCUGAUAUGAAGCGUUAUACCCGACGAUACCCGAAUGGGGAAACCCAGUGUGUUUCGACACACUAUCAUUACGUGAAUACAUAGCGUAAUGAGGCGAACCGGGGGAACUGAAACAUCUCAGUACCCCGAGGAAAAGAAAUCAACCGAGAUUCCCCUAGUAGCGGCGAGCGAACGGGGAGGAGCCCAGAACCUGAAUCAGUUUGUGUGUUAGUGGAAGCGUCUGGAAAGUCGCACAGUAAAGGGUGAUAGUCCCGUACACAAAAAUGCACAAAUUGUGAGUUCGAUGAGUAGGGCGGGACACGUGACAUCCUGUCUGAAUAUGGGGGGACCAUCCUCCAAGGCUAAAUACUCCUGACUGACCGAUAGUGAACCAGUACCGUGAGGGAAAGGCGAAAAGAACCCCGGCGAGGGGAGUGAAAUAGAACCUGAAACCGUGUACGUACAAGCAGUGGGAGCCUUGAUUAAUCAGGGUGACUGCGUACCUUUUGUAUAAUGGGUCAGCGACUUAUAUUCUGUAGCAAGGUUAACCGUAUAGGGGAGCCGCAGGGAAACCGAGUCUUAACUGGGCGUUAAGUUGCAGGGUAUAGACCCGAAACCCGGUGAUCUAGCCAUGGGCAGGUUGAAGGUUGGGUAACACUAACUGGAGGACCGAACCGACUAAUGUUGAAAAAUUAGCGGAUGACUUGUGGCUGGGGGUGAAAGGCCAAUCAAACCGGGAGAUAGCUGGUUCUCCCCGAAAGCUAUUUAGGUAGCGCCUCGUGAAUUCAUCUUCGGGGGUAGAGCACUGUUUCGGCUAGGGGGUCAUCCCGACUUACCAACCCGAUGCAAACUACGAAUACCGAAGAAUGUUAUCACGGGAGACACACGGCGGGUGCUAACGUUCGUCGUGAAGAGGGAAACAACCCAGACCGCCAGCUAAGGUCCCAAAGUCAUGGUUAAGUGGGAAACGAUGUGGGAAGGCACAGACAGCCAGGAUGUUGGCUUAGAAGCAGCCAUCAUUUAAAGAAAGCGUAAUAGCUCACUGGUCGAGUCGGCCUGCGCGGAAGAUGUAACGGGGCUAAACCAUGCACCGAAGCUGCGGCAGCGACACUUAGGUGUUGUUGGGUAGGGGAGCGUUCUGUAAGCCGUCGAAGGUGACCUGUGAGGGUUGCUGGAGGUAUCAGAAGUGCGAAUGCUGACAUAAGUAACGAUAAUGCGGGUGAAAAACCCGCACGCCGGAAGACCAAGGGUUCCUGUCCAACGUUAAUCGGGGCAGGGUGAGUCGACCCCUAAGGCGAGGCUGAAAAGCGUAGUCGAUGGGAAACAGGUUAAUAUUCCUGUACUCGGUGUUACUGCGAAGGGGGGACGGAGAAAGCUAGGUUAUCCGGGCGACGGUUGUCCCGGUUUAAGCGUGAAGGUGGAUGACUUUGGUAAAUCCGGGUCGUCAUUAACACUGAGGCGUGAUGACGAGUCACUACGGUGAUGAAGUAACCAAUGCUACGCUUCCAGGAAAAGCCUCUAAGCUCCAGGUAACAUCAAAUCGUACCCCAAACCGACACAGGUGGUCAGGUAGAGAAUACUCAGGCGCUUGAGAGAACUCGGGUGAAGGAACUAGGCAAAAUGGUGCCGUAACUUCGGGAGAAGGCACGCUGAUGGUAGGUGAAGUGACUUGCUCAUGGAGCUGAAAUCAGUCGAAGAUACCAGCUGGCUGCAACUGUUUAAUAAAAACACAGCACUGUGCAAACACGAAAGUGGACGUAUACGGUGUGACGCCUGCCCGGUGCCGGAAGGUUAAUUGAUGGGGUCAGCCGCAAGGCGAAGCUCUUGAUCGAAGCCCCGGUAAACGGCGGCCGUAACUAUAACGGUCCUAAGGUAGCGAAAUUCCUUGUCGGGUAAGUUCCGACCUGCACGAAUGGCGUAAUGAUGGCCAGGCUGUCUCCACCCGAGACUCAGUGAAAUUGAACUCGCUGUGAAGAUGCAGUGUACCCGCGGCAAGACGGAAAGACCCCGUGAACCUUUACUAUAGCUUGACACUGAACCUUGAGCCUUGAUGUGUAGGAUAGGUGGGAGGCUUUGAAGCGUGGACGCCAGUCUGCGUGGAGCCAACCUUGAAAUACCACCCUUUAAUGUUUGAUGUUCUAACGUGGGCCCGUGAUCCGGGUUGCGGACAGUGUCUGGUGGGUAGUUUGACUGGGGCGGUCUCCUCCCAAAGCGUAACGGAGGAGCACGAAGGUUAGCUAAUCCUGGUCGGACAUCAGGAGGUUAGUGCAAAGGCAUAAGCUAGCUUGACUGCGAGAGUGACAGCUCGAGCAGGUGCGAAAGCAGGUCUUAGUGAUCCGGUGGUUCUGAAUGGAAGGGCCAUCGCUCAACGGAUAAAAGGUACUCCGGGGAUAACAGGCUGAUACCGCCCAAGAGUUCAUAUCGACGGCGGUGUUUGGCACCUCGAUGUCGGCUCAUCACAUCCUGGGGCUGAAGUAGGUCCCAAGGGUAUGGCUGUUCGCCAUUUAAAGUGGUACGCGAGCUGGGUUUAGAACGUCGUGAGACAGUUCGGUCCCUAUCUGCCGUGGGCGUUGGAAGAUUGAGAGGGGUUGCUCCUAGUACGAGAGGACCGGAGUGAACGCACCACUGGUGUUCGGGUUGUGAUGCCAAUUGCAUUGCCCGGUAGCUAAGUGCGGAAGAGAUAACCGCUGAAAGCAUCUAAGCGGGAAACUUGCCUCGAGAUGAGUCUUCCCUGGGCACUAGAUGCCCCUGAAGGGCCGUUGAAGACUACGACGUAGAUAGGCUGGGUGUGUAAGCGUAGCGAUACGUUGAGCUAACCAGUACUAAUGACCCGAGAGGCUUAACCUUACAACACCGAAGGUGUUU
This 2937-nucleotide ribosomal RNA is filed under the name Pectobacterium versatile. RNAcentral describes it as "23S ribosomal RNA". It matches the Rfam family "Bacterial large subunit ribosomal RNA". Lineage: Bacteria; Pseudomonadati; Pseudomonadota; Gammaproteobacteria; Enterobacterales; Pectobacteriaceae. The record is from RNAcentral.